GAAGAUUCCUGGGAACUGUAGUUUGUUAAGGAUACUGGGAAGUAUAGCUUUUAAGGGCCAGCAUCCUCAACAAACUACAGUUCCCAGGAAUUUC
Non-coding RNA from Podarcis lilfordi (Lilford's wall lizard), 94 nucleotides. The record is from the annotation of a GenBank genome assembly. Lineage: Eukaryota; Metazoa; Chordata; Lepidosauria; Squamata; Lacertidae.